GGGCUCACACAAGCGGUGGAGGAUGUGGCUUAAUUCGAGGCUACGCGAAGAACCUUAUCCUAGAUUUGACAUGCUUGAGAAUCCCUAUGAAAAUAGAGAGUGCCCUUCGGGAGCUCUUGCACAGGUGCUGCAUGGCUGUCGUCAGCUCGUGUCGUGAGAUGUCGGGUUAAGUCCCUUAACGAGCGCAAACCCUUAUCACUCUAGUUGCCAGCGGGUAAUGCCGGGGACUCUAGAGAGACUGCCGGUGUCAAACCGGAGGAAGGUGGGGAUGACGUCAAGUCAUCAUGGCCUUUAUGCCCAGGGCUACACACGUGCUACAAUGGCGCAUACAGAGGGUUGCGAAACUGUGAAGUGGAGCUAA
This 361-nucleotide ribosomal RNA is filed under the name uncultured bacterium. Its description in RNAcentral is "bacterial SSU rRNA". It matches the Rfam family "Bacterial small subunit ribosomal RNA", at positions 917 to 1271 of the family's 1533-position model. The record is from RNAcentral.